Prolemur simus (greater bamboo lemur) is the source of this 106-nucleotide small nuclear RNA. Lineage: Eukaryota; Metazoa; Chordata; Mammalia; Primates; Lemuridae. The record is from Ensembl.
UUGCUUUCUUCACAGCACAUAUACUAACAUGGAAACAAUACAGAAAAGAUUAACAUGCCCCCUGUGCAAGAAUAGCACACAAUUCCUUAAAGCAUUCUGUAUUUUG